Molecule: small RNA, 329 nt
Filed under: Rattus norvegicus (Norway rat)
Lineage: Eukaryota; Metazoa; Chordata; Mammalia; Rodentia; Muridae
Description: uncharacterized LOC102556135
Source: RNAcentral
CUAAAGAUAAGGACAGGGAACUGAAGGCUGCAGUAAAGCAAGUUGGCUUGGUGACUUCUGAAACUGUUUCGGGUUUCCUGUGUCCCAGACUGACCUUUGUAUCAGUGAUGUAGGCAAGGAUGACCUUGAACUUCUGAUUCUUCUGCCUUCAUCUCCAGAAAGCUGGGAUUAUUGGGGGCUCUGAACUGUGUAAGUGUGAAGAAUCCGGCAAGCAGGCAGUGCAUUUGUCUCCCUGCUGUUGACUGUGGCUGUGACGUAACCUGCUGGAGUUCCUACCUUGACUUUCAUGAAAUCAUGGGCAGUCACCUGGAGUUUUAAAGUAAAAUAAA